GGAACAGAAGGCAGGAGAGUCUUUGUUUAGAGGAUUCCAUCAAUAACCUUGAUAUAAAUGCAAUGGUUAAAUGAAUUAAUUCAAUGUGCUUAAGACUUUUGUUUUCUAAAAAAUAAAUGAGAAGCCUGCAUGUACUAAACACAAGGUUUAGUGGAGACCUUUUUCUGAAUAGAUUAAAAAAAAUAAAAAGCGCAAUUUUUCAUUACCGAAGAUGAGUCAAGGAAAGAAUGUGUGGCUAAUUCAGAUGAGAGGGGACCCCGGGGCGGGAUUUGGAGACAUGUUAAUGCAAACACUUGGGAAGUUAUCAAAGUGAUAUUAUCAUCUCUUGAACGUGUUUCGCAGCUUGAAAACAGCCUUGCAUAAUUGCAUCUGAAAUAUAAAGGGAAAACGACCAGAGAUAUUAUGUCUCUUCGCAAGGCUGUGCCUAAUUUGCUCCUCUCUGAUGAUUCUGUUUUCCAGGCUCUCUACAGUUUUCGACAAAACCCUUCAACAGCAUCCGGCUAAUGUUGCUUUCUGAAAUGCUACAUUGAAGACAAAGGUUAAAUUUAAAGAGACUUCCCUGUGGCUUCCUUCCAAUGUAACAGUUUGCUGGAUGGUUGUACAAUUGAUGAUGUUGAGUCACCUGUUUGUCUUGUGCCAGGUGCUCCGGAGUCGACGCUUCUGAUCCAGGAAUCAAAAAUGUAGCAGAAUGUUCAAGAUUCCAGGACUGCAGGCAGAGGCUGGCUUGCUUGCUAUUGAUCUUAUGGCGGCUAUGAUCUACCUCUACGGUUGGAGGCAGUUGCUGGGAAUCAGAAGUGUGUGUGUGUGUGUGUGUGUACGUGCAUGCGUGCACGUGCAAGCGCGCAGAGGGUGAGGAGUUCUGUUGAACUUAUUCAGCUACAGGGCUCUUCUUAUGUACAUGCAGGUCCCACUUAACAAACACAAUGCGUUUCCUGGAAAGUGUUCAUUAGGCAAGUGUUCACAUAAAGUCCACAAUUUCCAUUGAUUCCUAUGGGAAAGCGUGUUCUCCUUCAUGGAGAGCACGUGUUGCGAUGGGGUCUAACAAGACACCUUUCCGAUUGGGCUCCUCUUGUCGUUGGGGAGAAUUUGAUGUUGCCAUUUUUUGAUUGACAGCCAAGAAGUCUUUUAUUCCCUGCCUGCAGUGUUGAGCUUCCUCUUUUCGCUGCGUGCAUUGGAUCACCCGCC
This 1185-nucleotide long non-coding RNA is filed under the name Podarcis muralis (Common wall lizard). RNAcentral's name for it is "lncRNA (ENSPMRG00000005284.1)". Lineage: Eukaryota; Metazoa; Chordata; Lepidosauria; Squamata; Lacertidae. The record is from RNAcentral.